RNAcentral lists this ribosomal RNA (465 nucleotides) under uncultured bacterium. RNAcentral's name for it is "bacterial SSU rRNA". It matches the Rfam family "Bacterial small subunit ribosomal RNA", at positions 338 to 795 of the family's 1533-position model. The record is from RNAcentral.
CCUACGGGAUGCACCAGUGGGGAAUAUUGCACAAUGGGCGCAAGCCUGAUGCAGCCAUGCCGCGUGUAUGAAGAAGGCCUUCGGGUUGUAAAGUACUUUCAGCGAGGAGGAAGGCGUUAAGGUUAAUAACCUUAGCGAUUGACGUUACUCGCAGAAGAAGCACCGGCUAACUCCGUGCCAGCAGCCGCGGUAAUACGGAGGGUGCGAGCGUUAAUCGGAAUUACUGGGCGUAAAGCGCACGCAGGCGGUCUGUCAAGUCGGAUGUGAAAUCCCCGGGCUCAACCUGGGAACUGCAUUCGAAACUGGCAGGCUAGAGUCUUGUAGAGGGGGGUAGAAUUCCAGGUGUAGCGGUGAAAUGCGUAGAGAUCUGGAGGAAUACCGGUGGCGAAGGCGGCUUACUGGUCUGCAACUGACGCUGAGGCGCGAAAGCGUGGGGAGCAAACAGGAUUAGAUACCCGUGUAGUC